ACGCUGGCGGCACGCCUAACACAUGCAAGUCGAACGAAGUAGCAAUACUUAGUGGCGAACGGGUGAGUAUAAUGUGGGUAUCUGCCUUUUGGUUUGGAAUAACACGGGGAAACUUGUGCUAAUACCGGAUAAGCCUUCACAGGGAAAGCUUUAGCGCCAAAAGAUGAGCCCACACUUGAUUAGCUAGUUGGUAAGGUAAUGGCUUACCAAGGCUACGAUCAAUAGCUGAUCUGAGAGGAUGAUCAGCCACAUUGGGACUGAGACACGGCCCAAACUCCUACGGGAGGCAGCAGUGGGGAAUCUUGCACAAUGGGGGAAACCCUGAUGCAGCGAUGCCGCGUGAGUGAAGAAGGCCCUUGGGUUGUAAAGCUCUUUCGUCGGGGAAGAAAAUGACUGUACCCGAAUAAGAAGGUCCGGCUAACUUCGUGCCAGCAGCCGCGGUAAUACGAAGGGACCUAGCGUAGUUCGGAAUUACUGGGCUUAAAGAGCUCGUAGGUGGUUGGAAAAGUUGGUGGUGAAAUCCCAAGGCUUAACCUUGGAACUGCAACCAAAACUUUUUGACUAGAGUAUGAUAGAGGAAAGUGGAAUUUCUAGUGUAGAGGUGAAAUUCGUAGAUAUUAGAAAGAAUACCAAUUGCGAAGGCAGCUUUCUGGAUCAAUACUGACACUGAGGAACGAAAGCAUGGGUAGCGAAGAGGAUUAGAUACCCUCGUAGUCCAUGCCGUAAACGAUGUGUGUUAGAUGUUGGAAAUUUAUUUUCAGUAUCGCAGCGAAAGCAAUAAACACACCGCCUGGGGAGUACGACCGCAAGGUUAAAACUCAAAUGAAUUGACGGGGACCCGCACAAGUAGUGGAGCAUGUGGUUUAAUUCGAAGAUACGCGCAGAACCUUACCAACACUUGACAUGUUCGUUGUGACUCUAAGAGAUUAGAGUCUUCGGUUCGGCCGGACGAAACACAGGUGCUGCAUGGCUGUCGUCAGCUCGUGUCGUGAGAUGUUGGGUUAAGUCCCGCAACGAGCGCAACCCUCACUUUUAGUUGCCACCAUUUAGUUGGGCACUCUGAAAGAACUGCCAGUGAUAAGCUGGAGGAAGGUGGGGAUGACGUCAAGUCCUCAUGGCCCUUAUGUGUUGGGCUACACACGUGCUACAAUGGCAUUUACAAUAGGAAGCAAAAUGGCGACAUUGAGCAAAUCCUAAAAAAAUGCCUCAGUUCGGAUUGUACUCUGCAACUCGAGUACAUGAAGCUGGAAUUACUAGUAAUCGCGGAUCAGCGCGCCGCGGUGAAUACGUUCCCGGGUCUUGUACACACCGCCCGUCACACCAUGGGAGUUGGUUCUACCUUAAGGCAAAGCUUAAAAUCUUUGACCACGGUAUAGUCAGCGACUGGGGUG
This 1391-nucleotide ribosomal RNA is filed under the name uncultured bacterium. Its description in RNAcentral is "16S ribosomal RNA". It matches the Rfam family "Bacterial small subunit ribosomal RNA". The record is from RNAcentral.